Molecule: ribosomal RNA, 253 nt
Filed under: uncultured bacterium
Lineage: Bacteria
Description: partial 16S ribosomal RNA
Rfam family: Bacterial small subunit ribosomal RNA
Source: RNAcentral
GACGGAGGAUGCAAGUGUUAUCCGGAAUCACUGGGCGUAAAGCGUCUGUAGGUGGUUUAAAAAGUCUACUGUUAAAAAUUGAAGCUUAACUUCAAAGAUGCCGUAGAAACUUUUAAACUUGAGGAUGGUAGGGGUAGAGGGAAUUUCCAGUGGAGCGGUGAAAUGCAUAGAUCUUGGAAAGACCACCAAUGGCGAAGGCACUCUACUGGGCCAUGACUGACACUAAGAGACGAAAGCUAGGGGAGCAAAUGGG